GUGGGGAAUCUUCCGCAAUGGACGAAAGUCUGACGGAGCGACGCCGCGUGAGUGAUGAAGGCCCUUGGGUCGUAAAGCUCUGUCAUCAGGGACGAACGGUCACGUCAGGAAAUGGGCGUGAAUUGACGGUACCUGAGAAGGAAGCCACGGCUAACUACGUGCCAGCAGCCGCGGUAAUACGUAGGUGGCGAGCGUUGUCCGGAAUUAUUGGGCGUAAAGCGCGCGCAGGUGGGAUCUUAAGUCUGUUCUGAAAGUUCGGAGCUUAACUCCGUGAUGGGAUGGAAACUGGGAUUCUUGAGUAUCGGAGAGGAAAGCGGAAUUCCCCGUGUAGCGGUGAAAUGCGUAGAUAUGGGGAGGAACACCAGUGGCGAAGGCGGCUUUCUGGACGAUGUCUGACACUGAGGCGCGAAAGCCAGGGGAGCGAACGGGAUUAGAUACCCCAGUAGUCC
Molecule: ribosomal RNA, 449 nt
Filed under: uncultured bacterium
Lineage: Bacteria
Description: partial 16S ribosomal RNA
Rfam family: Bacterial small subunit ribosomal RNA
Source: RNAcentral